ACCUCAGGGGAAGCAACAGAUCGUCACUCGGUGUUCUCACCGAAAGCACGUAAUCGCCGGUGUAACUCAUGUUGGCUGGGGGGCCUCCCGGCGCGCAGCAAGGCUGGGGUGCGCCCCUGUGCAGCUUGCUGUUGCUCAGCUGCACGAUCCCAGCCUUCGAAUGUGCCUAGGGCGGUGAGAAACUCAAUUCCCGUCGCCCCUACCCCCACUCCUCGGGUGGCUGAGGGAUGCUGUGUGCUAGGGGUGGCCAGGUGGAAGCCCAGAGCCCCGUGGCCCGUGGUCGGGGAGUCGGCUGUCCUGGAGGCUUAGGGUCGCGCCCCUUCUUCCCAGCCCCCCACUCCAGGCUUGCUCUAGGAAGCACCCCAGCCUCAGACCCUGGCCAGACCCCAUUGGGGGCAGGGUUCGUAGUAGUCGUGGAUGUGCUGGCCCCGUGGCUUGUCUGAUUUGCACGGUGACUUGAUUACACGCUUGCAUUCAUGGUCACUUCCGAAGCGCUUUAGUGCCUUCCGUCCCUAAACCGCCAACAGCCAAGGCGGCUUUCCCCGCGGAUUGUCAGUGAUCCACGGGUCCGGAAGGGCCUUCGUCUUACCCGGGAUCCACCUUUCCCUUCACGCUCCUUGCCCACCUCCUCACCCCACCCCUUGUCUUUCAAGAACCCCCCUUCUGCUCCCUGCCUGCCGCGGUUCGGAGUGACUCGGCAGAGCUAGACGCACGGGGGCUGCGCCUCUGCUCGCUGGUCAGCGCGCCUGCCUGGUCUUCUGGAGCUGAGGAAUCGGGAAACCAUGCAAUUGAGGCAAGCCUUGGGCUGUUUUAGAGGAGCUGACAUCUGAGGAGCCUUCUCCUGGGAGGCUCCACGGUCAAGCUGAACCUACCUGGCUCUGGGAAAAAGCUGACUGGAACUAAGGCCAUCCCGGAAGGCCAAGUCCGAGUUCCACUUUAGAAGCUGCCGCGGCAGGCAAGACUAUGACAUUGGCCCUGGCGACUGGUUUCUCAUGAGCAGCAUGUUACUUCACGAAAGCUCCACAGUGCGGGGCCAUCUCCCGAAAACACUCUUCAGCGUAUAUUUCCUUUAAUCGUCAACCCGGAGCCCCAGGGCGGCUAAUGCAAGAGGCCAAAAAUGUUUGGAGGAAGAAAAACAAAGGCAGGAAGUGGCGGCUGCCUGACGGUGCGUGCGCGUCUGCAAAGAAGGGAGGGAGCCAGUUCAAUCUCUUGUUUUUCCAAACUUCAAGGUCUAGGCAGCCUUUCCCCGCCAGCUGCCUGUCGGUCGCUCCUCCGCAGUUUGGAGGUGGCCACCCGGAGAGGAGAAGGCAAGGCGUCCCUGUCGUCCUGAUCAAGGAGGAAAUGGCUAACAAGAUUUGUUCAGCAAAACAGACCAAAACCAAGCCAGUCAGGGUCUUCCUCUGAUCUGGCUUUAAGACUGGGAAGGGAGGAUGUGCAUCUCCCCAGCCCUCCCUGGCAGGCUGAGUGCACUCUGGCGGGGAUGGUGAUCCAUGCACCCUGCGUUCCACCCGCUUUUGCAGGCAGGAUAUCAGAAUAAAGUGUCCUGGCUCCUCUGC
Octodon degus (degu) is the source of this 1556-nucleotide long non-coding RNA. RefSeq lists it as uncharacterized. NCBI's taxonomy places the organism in Eukaryota, Metazoa, Chordata, Mammalia, Rodentia, Octodontidae. The record is from RefSeq and is a predicted model, not a curated record. The transcript has 2 exons.